UAAAAAUUUUGAGACAUUUACCUUCCGACGAUAGGGCUCCCCAUAAACCCGAAUAACGGUAAAUAGUAGACACGUUGUGAUUCCGAUGACUAAAAUUCACAAACCAAAAUUCGACCGUCAGAUAUGAUCAUUAUGACGAAAGAUGUCUAUGGUAAAAAAUUCAACUGGAUUCGACAACGUUAAGGGCUCGAUCGAAACUGUCAACUCUAAUCGAAAAUAAGAAAACUGCAUUUUCAAGCCCUAAACGGACUCGGAUGGCCAAAAAAGCCUAUACAUCAUGGCAUUAGCGAUGAGUCUGACUCGUAGCGCCGUUACGCUUCCGGAAAGGUAUCACAAUAGUCAAUCAGACACCAAACACCAAAUCUGCAGCAUAGUGAAUAGUAAGGGUAAGUCAACUAUCGGCACCGAGACUUUACCGGAAUACUGUGUAUUUUUCAACCGUAGUCGUAUUUCACCGUUCUGGUCAUAUCUUAUUUCACGACUUUUUUGCGUUUGAAGGUUCUACGUAUAGUUUUUUUUUCUCAGAUGAGUUGUUGUCUAGAUCUGCAAAUAUAAGGCACUUUAGCCGACGAAAUUAUAUUUUUUCGUCGGCUAAAGUUUAAAAAUUUCGUCGGCUAAAGUUUAAAAAUUUCGUCGGCUAAAGUCCACUUUAGCCGACUAAUUUUUUUCGUCGGUUAAACUUUUAAAAAUUUCGUCGGCUAAAGUUCACAGACUAUAGCCGACGAAAAA
This 729-nucleotide long non-coding RNA is filed under the name Fragaria vesca (wild strawberry). Its description in RNAcentral is "long non-coding RNA (FVES_LNC003202)". Lineage: Eukaryota; Viridiplantae; Streptophyta; Magnoliopsida; Rosales; Rosaceae. The record is from RNAcentral.